UGAUUUUCUUCAGUGAAAGAAUACAGCUCAGUUCUCUUUUAAACAAGUGACCGCUAAAGUUCCAUUACUAUGAUCUGAUAAUACACCAAUAACAACAGUUGCUAGCCCACAUCCUUACCCUAAGGUUACAAAUUCUCAUUGUGUUUCAAUAUUUGCACAGAACAAAAGGAAUCUAUAACUUAUACAUAGGACAGAGAUCAUACCCUCAUUUCCAACUCAGAUGACCAUCCACCAUUGUAAAUGUAACAAGUUGAAUGUAAGGCAUUUUUAUCAUAUUGAAUCGUCUGAUUCAUCAGAAUCACUUCUC
RNAcentral lists this unclassified non-coding RNA (307 nucleotides) under Hevea brasiliensis (rubber tree). The record is from RNAcentral. Lineage: Eukaryota; Viridiplantae; Streptophyta; Magnoliopsida; Malpighiales; Euphorbiaceae.